This is a non-coding RNA of Monodelphis domestica (gray short-tailed opossum), 1033 nucleotides long. NCBI's taxonomy places the organism in Eukaryota, Metazoa, Chordata, Mammalia, Didelphimorphia, Didelphidae. The record is from the annotation of a RefSeq genome assembly.
AAUGAGGCCAGCUGGGGAGGGCAGCUAUAAAGGGGCAGCUGGGAGGGAGCUGCUGGGGAGCCAGAGCUCAGGCACAGGGAGAUGAUGGGGUCUCAGGCUCAGCUGUUCUGCCUCCUGCUUCUCUGGGUCCCAGGUUCCAGAGGGGCCAUUGAGCUGACCCAGUCUCCAUCCUCCCUGGCUGUGUCUCCCGGAGAGAGGGUCACCCUGUCCUGCAGGGCCAGUCAGAGUGUUAGUAAUUACAUAGACUGGUACCAACAGCGCCCAGGCCAGUCUCCCAGGCUCCUCAUUUACAAGGCUUCCAACCUACACUCUGGGGUCCCUGCCCGGUUCAGUGGCAGUGGCUCUGGGACAGAUUUCUCUCUUACCAUCAGUGCUGUGGAACCAGAGGACAUCGCAGACUAUUACUGUCUACAGUGGGAUAACUGGCCUCUCACAGUGAUUCAGCUCUGAACAAAAACCUGCCCAGGCAGCUGCUGAGGGAGCCCCCACUGUCCCAGGGGCUCCUCCUCCCCCCACAGCUGGGACAGCUUGUCUGGGUUGCCUGUGAGGGCAGUUUGUAGGUCUCACAGGAGGCUGCUGGGACUGGGAUGGAUGCUGAGCCUCAUCUUUUCCCCAUCAACACUCAUGGAGUGGCGCCUCCUCAAACAUUGGAUGUCACCCCAAAGAACUGGAAAGACCUUCAUGAUCUGAUGCGGUAUGCAAUGAGCAGAAACAGGAGAACAUUUCACACAGUGACUGAAAUGCUGUGAGAUGAUCAAAUGUAACAGACAUUUCUACUAGCAGCAACUCAAUGAUCCAGGGCAAUCCCAAGAGACUGAUGAGAAAGAACGCUCUCCACAUCCAGAGAAAGAACUGUAGGAGUUGAAACACAGAAGAAAAAUAUGAUUGUUCAUGUGGUUCAAUGGAAAUAGUCUUGGGGGUUUGGCUUCUAAUGAUCACUCUAUUGCAAAUAUUAAUAAUAUGAAAAUCAGUUUUAAACAUGUAAAACCCAGUGGAAUUGCUUGUCAGCUCCAGAAGUGGGGAGUGAAGAGGG